GGGUCCUCGUGGUCGGGGAUCCGUGAACCCCGCCAGGACCGGAAGGUAGCAACGGUGUCGGUCCCCCCGAGGUGCGGGGGUGC
This 83-nucleotide signal recognition particle RNA is filed under the name marine eukaryotic metagenome. RNAcentral's name for it is "Bacterial small signal recognition particle RNA". It matches the Rfam family "Bacterial small signal recognition particle RNA". From Rfam's summary of the family: The signal recognition particle (SRP) is a universally conserved ribonucleoprotein involved in the co-translational targeting of proteins to membranes. The record is from RNAcentral.